Molecule: ribosomal RNA, 301 nt
Filed under: uncultured bacterium
Lineage: Bacteria
Description: partial 16S ribosomal RNA
Rfam family: Bacterial small subunit ribosomal RNA
Source: RNAcentral
CAGUAGCCGCGGGAAUACGUAGGUGGCAAGCGUUGUCCGGAAUUAUUGGGCGUAAAGGGCUCGCAGGCGGUUUCUUAAGUCUGAUGUGAAAGCCCCCGGCUCAACCGGGGAGGGUCAUUGGAAACUGGGAAACUUGAGUGCAGAAGAGGAGAGUGGAAUUCCACGUGUAGCGGUGAAAUGCGUAGAGAUGUGGAGGAACACCAGUGGCGAAGGCGACUCUCUGGUCUGUAACUGACGCUGAGGAACGAAAGCGUGGGGAGCGAACAGGAUUAGAUACCCCUGUAGUCCCUGUCUCUUAUAC